Long non-coding RNA from Leopardus geoffroyi (Geoffroy's cat), 497 nucleotides. RefSeq lists it as uncharacterized. The record is from RefSeq and is a predicted model, not a curated record. Lineage: Eukaryota; Metazoa; Chordata; Mammalia; Carnivora; Felidae. The transcript is spliced from 4 exons.
CGGGUGUGUGCAGGGGCAGAAUGUGCCAGAAUGUGCCAGAAUGCGCCGGCUCUCACCUUGCCUAGCUGCCGCUGAGAAAAACAAAGCACAAAGAGGGACCUGAAGUAUCUCCUUCUCGGAAGCCUGAUAAGGGACUGGAGUGGUGGCCAGAGCCGUGGAAUCCAACAAGAGGAACAUUACGUGGCAUGUGACAUGGGGGACCCCCAGGAGGCAAGGAGGCCUUCAGAAAGGAGUCUCCGGAGGCAGCCCAGCCGUGCAGACCCUGACAUUGGACACGCAGCCCAAGUUCCCCAUCUUUAUCCUGCAGAAAAACUGACGUAUUUCCGGAGAGUUCCAUCAGAGGGGCUGUGACAAGCUUGGACUGGCCUCCAGGAAGGGGUCCUGGGGUCCCUCCACGAACAGUCCAGACGUGAACGUACUUCAUCAAAGGGAAAGGGUCUGGGUUCAGGCCCCGGGGCCCCGUGAGUUUGGCUGCAAAAUAAAUUGCCCGGACGAGA